Molecule: long non-coding RNA, 198 nt
Organism: Bradysia coprophila
Lineage: Eukaryota; Metazoa; Arthropoda; Insecta; Diptera; Sciaridae
Source: RefSeq, a predicted model, not a curated record
AGAAAAAGUCAUUCAGAAGAAUCGGGUGAUAUACGAGCUAAGAAAUUCCAAUGCAAUAGAAUUUCAUUAGCCAUACAACGUGGGAAUGCAGCAAGCAUUCUUGGAACACACCCUACAAAUGAAAAACUUACAGAAAUUUUUGAUUUGUAAAACAAUGUCUCAUGUACACUUAAAAUUUUCAAAAAUCAAUAAUAAAAA